UAGCUAGUUACAAAAGGUU
RNAcentral lists this microRNA (19 nucleotides) under Schistosoma mansoni. Its description in RNAcentral is "sma-miR-8409-5p". The record is from miRBase by way of RNAcentral. Lineage: Eukaryota; Metazoa; Platyhelminthes; Trematoda; Strigeidida; Schistosomatidae.